GGGGAGUUACGCUAACCUGGCAGACUAUCAGCCUUGGGCGCUGAUGAUCCGAGUUCAAAUCUCGGACUCCCCA
Molecule: transfer RNA, 73 nt
Filed under: Microcaldota archaeon
Lineage: Archaea; Nanobdellati; Microcaldota
Also listed under: 3 other names
Description: tRNA-Pro
Rfam family: tRNA
About the family: Transfer RNA (tRNA) molecules are approximately 80 nucleotides in length. Their secondary structure includes four short double-helical elements and three loops (D, anti-codon, and T loops).
Source: RNAcentral